GUGCCAGCAGCCGCGGUAAUACGGAGGAUGCGAGCGUUAUCCGGAUUUAUUGGGUUUAAAGGGUGCGUAGGCAGUUUGUUAAGUCAGCGGUGAAAUCUAGAGGCUCAACCUCGAAACUGCCGUUGAAACUGGCGAACUUGAGUGUAGAUGAGGUAGGCGGAAUUCGUGGUGUAGCGGUGAAAUGCAUAGAUAUCACGAGGAACUCCGAUUGCGAAGGCAGCUUACUAAGGUACAACUGACGCUGAAGCACGAAAGCGUGGGUAUCAAACAGGAUUAGAUACCCUGGUAGUCC
RNAcentral lists this ribosomal RNA (292 nucleotides) under uncultured microorganism. RNAcentral describes it as "partial 16S ribosomal RNA". It matches the Rfam family "Bacterial small subunit ribosomal RNA", at positions 505 to 796 of the family's 1533-position model. The record is from RNAcentral.